GUCAGUUUUUAUCAGAUUUUUAGUAGUGUCAAACACUUUAAAACUCGUUUUAUCCCUUAGAAUUUCAGUACCUCCAUUGUAUUGAAUCAACCCCAACCCUCCAUUUUUCUCAUUUACAUUAGGCGCAUUGAUGUACCUCUUUCCUUUUAAGGAAUAUAUUUUGUAACAUGGUGAAUAUUUUGUGCAGUGGCCACCAUGCAUUGAAAGCCAAAAUGGCUGAGCUUGGAUAUGACUUUGAUGGAAAAGAACUUGAUGACCUCUUUCGUCGAUUCAAGUCACUGGCUGAGAGGAAAAAGAAAAUUACAGAUGAUGACUUGAGAGCACUUGUAUCAGAUGACGUUUUCCAGCCUCAAGUUUCCUGGCAACUUGGAGAUGUACAGAUUACUUGUGGAAAUGUUGGCCGCUCUACAGCAAAUGUUAAGCUUAUUGACAGCGAUGGUCAAGAGCACACUGCCUUUUCUGUUGGAACAGGACCUGUUGAUGCAGCUUACAAGGCAGUUGACCUCAUUGUAAAGGUUUAUAAUGAAACUGAAAACUCUCAUAAUGUUUGUAUCUUGUCACACUAGUAGGAUAGGUAAUUUAAGUUUUAUAUACGCUGAAGGUAUAAAAAUAUUUACUCAAUCAGAGCGCUUACAAGACAAUUGCAGUGGAACAGGAGCGCAUAUGGACAUUGUCGUUUCAAGUGUCCAAGCCUAUGUUGAGGCGUUGAACAAAAUAUUCAGUUACAAAAAAACAGGUCUCGUGAACAAAUUUGAAGGCAGUGCGCAAUCGUAAAAGUGAUGGUGUGUGCUCCAGAAACAAAAGCUUAAAUGCUGCUUAGUGCUCGAUGAUCAUAAAUUUAUGCUCUAUUCAUGCAUGCAUUACUGAAGUUAAUUAAGAAGUAAUCUUAAUUGUAUAAGAUGUAAACAUGUUUCUAUUCAUGCAUUACUAUGAAAUUAAUUACAAUUUCUGAGCCAAUUUUUUUAUUUGG
Non-coding RNA from Nicotiana tabacum (common tobacco), 970 nucleotides. The record is from RefSeq and is a predicted model, not a curated record. Lineage: Eukaryota; Viridiplantae; Streptophyta; Magnoliopsida; Solanales; Solanaceae.